Molecule: transfer RNA, 72 nt
Filed under: Intestinibacter bartlettii
Lineage: Bacteria; Bacillati; Bacillota; Clostridia; Peptostreptococcales; Peptostreptococcaceae
Also listed under: 1 other name
Description: tRNA-Trp
Rfam family: tRNA
About the family: Transfer RNA (tRNA) molecules are approximately 80 nucleotides in length. Their secondary structure includes four short double-helical elements and three loops (D, anti-codon, and T loops). Further hydrogen bonds mediate the characteristic L-shaped molecular structure. tRNAs have two regions of fundamental functional importance: the anti-codon, which is responsible for specific mRNA codon recognition, and the 3' end, to which the tRNAs corresponding amino acid is attached (by aminoacyl-tRNA synthetases). tRNAs cope with the degeneracy of the genetic code in two manners: having more than one tRNA (with a specific anti-codon) for a particular amino acid; and 'wobble' base-pairing, i.e. permitting non-standard base-pairing at the 3rd anti-codon position.
Source: RNAcentral
AGGAAGUUGGUGUAAUGGCAACACAACAGUCUCCAAAACUGCAAGUUUAGGGUUCGAAUCCUUAACUUCCUG